CUCAGCCGUAAACCUAGAUGUCCACCUACGAUGGCAUCCGCCCGGGUACUACGAGCAUUAGCUUGAAACCCAAAGGACCUGACGGUGCCUUAGACCCCCCUAGAGGAGCCUGUUCUAGAACCGAUAACCCUCGUUAAACCUCACCACCUCUAGCCGUCCCAGCCUAUAUACCGCCGUCGUCAGCUUACCCUGUGAAGGCAAUAAAAGUAAGCAAAAUGGGCAUAACCCAAAACGUCAGGUCGAGGUGUAGCGUACGAAGUGGGAAGAAAUGGGCUACAUUUUCUAUUAUAGAAUACUACGGAUAUGCAACAUGAAACUGUGCUUGAAGGAGGAUUUAGUAGUAAAAAGGAAGCAGCGUGUCCUUUUGAACCCGGCUCUUAGGCGCGUAC
Molecule: ribosomal RNA, 389 nt
Filed under: Meda fulgida (spikedace)
Lineage: Eukaryota; Metazoa; Chordata; Actinopteri; Cypriniformes; Leuciscidae
Description: partial 12S ribosomal RNA
Rfam family: Bacterial small subunit ribosomal RNA
Source: RNAcentral